UACGUAGGGGGCAAGCGUUAUCCGGAUUUACUGGGUGUAAAGGGAGCGUAGACGGUAGUGCAAGUCUGGAGUGAAAGGCGGGGGCCCAACCCCCGGACUGCUCUGGAAACUGUGCGACUAGAGUGCAGGAGAGGUAAGUGGAAUUCCUAGUGUAGCGGUGAAAUGCGUAGAUAUUAGGAGGAACACCAGUGGCGAAGGCGGCCUGCUGGACGACAACUGACGGUGAGGCGCGAAAGCGUGGGGAGCAAACAGG
RNAcentral lists this ribosomal RNA (253 nucleotides) under uncultured bacterium. Its description in RNAcentral is "partial 16S ribosomal RNA". It matches the Rfam family "Bacterial small subunit ribosomal RNA", at positions 524 to 776 of the family's 1533-position model. The record is from RNAcentral.